UUUUGAGAAAUAUGCAAUUUUUUCUAGUAAGAAUACUUUUGAGGAGGAAAAAUGUGUAAUAUGCUCUUCUUUGAAUAAUAUACGAAUGUGUGAAAGAGUGAUGUAUUUAGGAUUGCCUACUAUUGCGGGAAGAUCUAAAAAAGAAAUAUAGAAUUUUAUCUAAAAUAAAUGGUUGGAAAGGAAAGUUUCUAAGUCAAGAAGGG
RNAcentral lists this long non-coding RNA (203 nucleotides) under Nicotiana benthamiana. Its description in RNAcentral is "long non-coding RNA (NBEN_LNC024266)". Lineage: Eukaryota; Viridiplantae; Streptophyta; Magnoliopsida; Solanales; Solanaceae. The record is from RNAcentral.